This 1064-nucleotide long non-coding RNA is filed under the name Homo sapiens (human). Its description in RNAcentral is "HSALNT0317167". The record is from RNAcentral. Lineage: Eukaryota; Metazoa; Chordata; Mammalia; Primates; Hominidae.
AUGGCAACACCUCCACGGAAAAAUGAUGGCGGCCACAGCAAGACGAGCGAUGACUAUUUUUUUUAAAUAUACACAAAUACAGCACUACGCACCCCAAAGCGCCCUUUGGCUCCCAGGACACAGGGCUGUGUUUAAGACAACAGCAUAGGAGCUCAUGACAAGACUAAUUAGGAGCACAAGGGGAGUAUGCAGGCUCAGGACCGAGAGUUUGACAAUGAAUUAAGACCUGGGGCUUUGGGAUACUGAAAUUUGUCAACAAAAUUAACAUUCCCUUUCCUGGAAACUCUCAAGCUGAAGGAGUUUACGAGGACCUUAUUUUAAGUGUCCAACUUGGAGGGAAUUAUCAGAGAGAGAGAGCGAGAGACGGUAAAAACAAACAGUAGCCGCCAUCAGCCCCUUCAACAGCACUGUAAACCUAGCCAAGGAUGGGUUCCCGCCCACUGCUUCUCACAGCCGUUCUCCUCUGAUGCCUUCGCAGAUCGGAAUUUGGGGAAGGAGUGGCCUCCAUGACCUCAACAUCAGAAGCCUAGAGGGUCUUUGUGGCUUAAAGGGCUGUGACACGUGAAGUACUGGCUGCCGAUUGUAGAGGAGAGAUUCCUGGGCAAGUGCAGAGUUAUAUAGAGUGCCCUUUCUACCUGACACACGAAAGAAAUGAGCUGUAACAGACGCCAGCGGCAGGUGCAGGACCUGUGAGCUUCACUCACUGUGCCCCAGUGUUUGGGUUCCUGCGCUUUGAACCGCCUUACUUUAAGAAGCCUUGUCAUUGGAAAAUUGACCGCAGCUGAUGGCUUCUGUCAUUUGUGCUGUUGUUUGGAGGGCAGGGCUCUGCGUCGCUUUGUCAGGCCGCACAGGGAAUGCGCCACCUCCGGCCCGCACUGUCUGCCUACCCAGACCCACAAGGCUCCUCAAAGCCUCCUCACCAAGGGCUGACUCUUUUGCCUUGUUCUUUCUUUUUCUUUCUGUUUAUUCUUUCAAAACAUGUACUCCUUUUAGGCAGUUGCGAGAACUUCUACAAUAAUCUGUGUUCUAAAUUUUAGGAGCCACAAUAAAAACCUCUCUUUUUU